Nannospalax galili (Upper Galilee mountains blind mole rat) is the source of this 1588-nucleotide long non-coding RNA. RefSeq lists it as uncharacterized. Lineage: Eukaryota; Metazoa; Chordata; Mammalia; Rodentia; Spalacidae. The transcript is spliced from 3 exons. The record is from RefSeq and is a predicted model, not a curated record.
GAAAAAUAACUGAUUUCUAUGAAGCCUGAAAUAAAUGAAUCUGCUUCGCUUGUUAUGUGACUAAUGAUCUUCAUCAGCACUGAGCUGCAUCAGCAUUGCAUUCAGUCUUUCUCCUUCACAGAUAAUGUCUAUUCUGGAAUUUAUGAGUACCACUACCUGUGUUUUAUAAAACUCACUUAUUGGGUCUUCUGAGAGUUCACAGCCUCUAGCAAAUGGAACUCAUCCACUGAUACGGAUCCAUGAAGACUCACUCAACUAUUUGAAGCCCAAUCCAAACAAUGCUUUCUUGUCAAUAUCUUCUGCUUGAUCAUUCUUGGAAUCAUGGUUUUGGGUAUCAAUUGUUAGCAGAGCAUUCUAGUUGUUUGUGUGUGGAGUCUGAGUGAAGGAAGGGAAUGCACAGAAUAUGCAACAUAUCCAAACACCACUGAAGGUGUUCAGAACAUUCUCAUUGCUGUGACAAAAUACAUGAUGAAAGCCACCUAAGGAAGAAAGGGUUUAUUUUGGCUCACAGUCAGAGGGUCCAGUCAUCAUGACAGGGAAGGCAUGGCGGCAGGGGCAUGAGGUAGCUUGUCACAUUGCACCUGCAGUCAAGAAGCAGAGAGAGAUUAAUACUGGUGCUCAGCUCACUUUCUCCUCUUUAUGGUGUCUGGUACACCAGCCCAUGAAAUGGUGCCAGCCACAUUCCCUCUUCAGCUCAGCCUUUCUAGAAAUACCCUUUUAGGCAUAACAAGGUGUGUUUCCAAGGUGAUUCUAAAUCCAUUCAAGUUGACAAUGAAAACUAACCAUCACGACAUCAAAGAUCACUUUCUAGCUAAGAGUUUUCUAUUUAAUAAGGAAUGUUGAACUCAAUGAUAGUCUUCUCAACCUAUCAAAAAUAAAAAUAAAAGGUAAAUGUGAGAAAAUAUCAAGAAAAUGGUAGCACAAAACUAAAAAAAUACUAAGAUACAACUGUGUGCUAUUCAUAUAUAGAUAUAUAGUAAUUCACUGAUAUAUUUAUUCAACACUUUCAGGUAUCUGAGAGAAUAGUGAUGCAAUGUGACUUAUGCUUAUGAUGUGUUAUAUUCUAAAAAGCUUUUCACAGGAUCAUUUCAUCUGAUAAAAAUAAUGAGAGCAGGAGGCAGAAAUUGGCUAGGCAGUUUAGGAUAAAGACACCAAAAGAAAAAUAACCAUUUCUUUCUCAGAUGGGAGCUGGAAACUCCCUUGGAUCUGCCAGUAAACUCAUUUUAGCCUGAGGCUAGAGGUGCCAGGACUAUCUAAUCCAAAGAUGUCUCUGAUUCUCCCAUAGCUAAAGGCUGUGGAUGCCAAUUAAGGGGGUCUUUUUUUUGUUUCCUUAUCUCUCUUUUUCCUGAAGUAAUACCUUGUUCCUGGAAGACAUGCUGAGGAUGUGACCAGGACUUCGAGGGACCUGGACACCUGGAAUGAGAACUGACUGACCAACUCAUGUCCCACUUCCUUCCUCCCUCCACUAAACUGUUAUUAAAACUCCUGAAUGAUAAAACUCAAUAUAAUCCCAUUCCCUGGUCCCCUCCUGCUGCCCAGGAGCUCUGCUUUCUCUUUCCUACUGUCCCUAUAAUAAAAUAUCCCUUUC